RNAcentral lists this long non-coding RNA (524 nucleotides) under Calidris pygmaea (Spoon-billed sandpiper). Its description in RNAcentral is "lncRNA (ENSCPGG00000002067.1)". Lineage: Eukaryota; Metazoa; Chordata; Aves; Charadriiformes; Scolopacidae. The record is from RNAcentral.
GUGUUUGUAACGGUGCCAAGUGCUUCAGUGCAAGGCUGGGAAUGAUUUUCCUCCAGUUUCAAAAAUGCUUACUAACAAAAUAUGUUGAUUUUGCAAAUAGGUCUUAUUCUCAGCAGACAAAACCAAUGCAGAUCCAGCCCCACAACGGCAUUGCUGAAAACUGAGUGCAAGUCCUACAGAAAGCUGCUGAACACCUCCACACUUCUGUAGAUGUAAGAAAACGCUCCCAAAACAAGGAGGAGUAUGAUUUGUUACCUCUUGCAGGCAGCCCUGGGCACAACAGUGAUCCCUUUAUGUGGGCCUGGCGAGAUGGAGAACUGCACCACAGCACUAAGUAAGUGGAAUUGUCGAACAAAACCCCAAUUUUUAGCCUGCCUUUCCCUUAAUAUUGCUUUUUCAGCAGGAGAGCUCUGUCUUAUGUGAGAACUCUGCUGUAAAAGCUGAAAUAGUUUAUGUGGAACUCCUGAAGGAAAAGUCAGGAUAACUCCGGCCUGGGAGAAUCGUCUCCCGGUUCAGAAGGCUCU